Small nuclear RNA from Podarcis raffonei (Aeolian wall lizard), 102 nucleotides. The record is from RefSeq and is a predicted model, not a curated record. Lineage: Eukaryota; Metazoa; Chordata; Lepidosauria; Squamata; Lacertidae.
UAGAUUUAGCAACACAUUUGCUAAAAUCCGAAUGAUGCAGAGAAGAUUAGCAUGUCCCCUGUGCAAGGACAAAAUGUGCAAAUAACAUCAUUGAAGGUCCUU